RNAcentral lists this ribosomal RNA (1436 nucleotides) under Microbacterium trichothecenolyticum. Its description in RNAcentral is "bacterial SSU rRNA". It matches the Rfam family "Bacterial small subunit ribosomal RNA". The record is from RNAcentral. Lineage: Bacteria; Bacillati; Actinomycetota; Actinomycetes; Micrococcales; Microbacteriaceae.
AGUCGAACGGUGAAGCCAAGCUUGCUUGGUGGAUCAGUGGCGAACGGGUGAGUAACACGUGAGCAACCUGCCCUGGACUCUGGGAUAAGCGCUGGAAACGGCGUCUAAUACUGGAUAUGAGCUCUCAUCGCAUGGUGGGGGUUGGAAAGAUUUUUUGGUCUGGGAUGGGCUCGCGGCCUAUCAGCUUGUUGGUGAGGUAAUGGCUCACCAAGGCGUCGACGGGUAGCCGGCCUGAGAGGGUGACCGGCCACACUGGGACUGAGACACGGCCCAGACUCCUACGGGAGGCAGCAGUGGGGAAUAUUGCACAAUGGGCGGAAGCCUGAUGCAGCAACGCCGCGUGAGGGAUGACGGCCUUCGGGUUGUAAACCUCUUUUAGCAGGGAAGAAGCGAGAGUGACGGUACCUGCAGAAAAAGCGCCGGCUAACUACGUGCCAGCAGCCGCGGUAAUACGUAGGGCGCAAGCGUUAUCCGGAAUUAUUGGGCGUAAAGAGCUCGUAGGCGGUUUGUCGCGUCUGCUGUGAAAUCCCGAGGCUCAACCUCGGGCCUGCAGUGGGUACGGGCAGACUAGAGUGCGGUAGGGGAGAUUGGAAUUCCUGGUGUAGCGGUGGAAUGCGCAGAUAUCAGGAGGAACACCGAUGGCGAAGGCAGAUCUCUGGGCCGUAACUGACGCUGAGGAGCGAAAGGGUGGGGAGCAAACAGGCUUAGAUACCCUGGUAGUCCACCCCGUAAACGUUGGGAACUAGUUGUGGGGACCAUUCCACGGUUUCCGUGACGCAGCUAACGCAUUAAGUUCCCCGCCUGGGGAGUACGGCCGCAAGGCUAAAACUCAAAGGAAUUGACGGGGACCCGCACAAGCGGCGGAGCAUGCGGAUUAAUUCGAUGCAACGCGAAGAACCUUACCAAGGCUUGACAUACACCAGAACACCGUAGAAAUACGGGACUCUUUGGACACUGGUGAACAGGUGGUGCAUGGUUGUCGUCAGCUCGUGUCGUGAGAUGUUGGGUUAAGUCCCGCAACGAGCGCAACCCUCGUUCUAUGUUGCCAGCACGUAAUGGUGGGAACUCAUGGGAUACUGCCGGGGUCAACUCGGAGGAAGGUGGGGAUGACGUCAAAUCAUCAUGCCCCUUAUGUCUUGGGCUUCACGCAUGCUACAAUGGCCGGUACAAAGGGCUGCAAUACCGUGAGGUGGAGCGAAUCCCAAAAAGCCGGUCCCAGUUCGGAUUGAGGUCUGCAACUCGACCUCAUGAAGUCGGAGUCGCUAGUAAUCGCAGAUCAGCAACGCUGCGGUGAAUACGUUCCCGGGUCUUGUACACACCGCCCGUCAAGUCAUGAAAGUCGGUAACACCUGAAGCCGGUGGCCUAACCCUUGUGGAGGGAGCCGUCGAAGGUGGGAUCGGUAAUUAGGACUCAGUCGACGCUAUGCGCGACGGCC